AUAUACGUACAUUANCCGCCCGGGAACUACAACGCGCCAGUUCACAAACCCAAAGGACUUGGCGGUACUUCAGACCCACCUAGAGGAGCCNCNNCUAGAAUCGNUCUCNCCGUUUGACACCUCACCAUCUCNGGCCAAUAUCCGCCUGUAUACCGCGUCGUCAGCUACCUUGAGAUCAUAGUGACAGGAGGCAUCGCCCGAACGGCAGGUCAAGGUGCAGCGCAUGAGGUGGAAAGAAAUGGGCUACAUUCUCUACCCCAGAGAAUUUGACGGAGGGUGCAAUGAAAUAGGCACCCGAAGGUGGAUUUAGCAGUAAGAAGGAAAAACGCCU
This 331-nucleotide ribosomal RNA is filed under the name Chlorophthalmus sp. NI51. RNAcentral describes it as "partial 12S ribosomal RNA". Lineage: Eukaryota; Metazoa; Chordata; Actinopteri; Aulopiformes; Chlorophthalmidae. The record is from RNAcentral.